This 462-nucleotide ribosomal RNA is filed under the name uncultured bacterium. Its description in RNAcentral is "partial 16S ribosomal RNA". It matches the Rfam family "Bacterial small subunit ribosomal RNA", at positions 28 to 507 of the family's 1533-position model. The record is from RNAcentral.
GAUGAACGCUGACAGAAUGCUUAACACAUGCAAGUCUUUGGCGAAGCUGUGCUUGCACAGCCUAGCCAAGGCGGACGGGUGAGUAACGCGUAAGGAACUUGCCCUGCAGUCAGGGAUAACAGACGGAAACGACUGAUAAGACCUGGUAAAGUCAGGCGGACUCAUGUCCAGCCUGAUGAAAAGAGAUGCUGCAGGAGAGCCUUGCGUCCUAUUAGCUUGUUGGUGGGGUAACGGCCCACCAAGGCGAUGAUAGGUAGCCGGCCUGAGAGGGUGGACGGCCACAAGGGGACUGAGAUACGGCACUUACUCCUACGGGAGGCAGCAGUGGGGAAUAUUGGACAAUGGGGGCAACCCUGAUCCAGCAAUUCUGUGUGCACGAUGAAGGUUUUCGGAUUGUAAAGUGCUUUCAGCAGGGAAGAAAAAAUGACGGUACCUGCAGAAGAAGCGACGGCUAAAUACGUG